This is a long non-coding RNA of Orcinus orca (killer whale), 2439 nucleotides long. RefSeq lists it as uncharacterized. The record is from RefSeq and is a predicted model, not a curated record. NCBI's taxonomy places the organism in Eukaryota, Metazoa, Chordata, Mammalia, Artiodactyla, Delphinidae. The transcript is spliced from 3 exons.
GUUCCUUCUAGUGUAGUUUUCAUUUCAGUUAUUGUAUUGUUCAUCUCUGUUUGUUCUUUAAUUCUUCUAGGUCUUUGUUGAACAUUUCUUUCAUCUUCUCGAUCUUUGCCUCCAUUCUUUUUCCGAGGUCCUGGAUCAUCUUCACUAUCAUUAUUCUGAAUUCUUUUUCUGGAAGGUUGCCUAUCUCCACUUCAUUUAGUUGAUUUUCUAGGGUUUUAUCUUGUUCCUGCAUCUGGUACAUAGCCCUCUGCCUUUUCAUCUUGUCUAUCUUUCUGUGAAUGUGUUUUUUGUUCCACAGGCUGCAGGACUGUAGUUCUUGCUUCUGCUGUCUGCCCUCUGUUGGAUGAGGCUAUCUAAGAGGCUUGUGCAAGUUUUCUGAUGGGAGGGACUGGUGGUAGGUAGAGUUGGGUGUUGCUCUGGUGGGAAGAGCUCAAUAAAACUUUAAACUGCUUUACUGCUGAUGGGUGGGGCUGGGUUCCCUCUCUGUUGGUUCUUUGGCCUGAGGGAACCCAACAUUGGAGCUUACCUGGGCUGUUUGGUGGGGCUAAUGGCAGACUCUGGGAGGGCUCAUGCCAAGGAGUACUUCCCAGAAGCUCUGCUGCCAGUUUCCUUGUCCUCACGGUGAACCACAGCCACCCCCUGCCUCUGCAGGAGACACUCCAACACUAGCAGCCCUGCCUGAAAUUUCAUGCAUCCUUUGAGUGGUUAUACAGGUUGGUGGCCAAGUUUCCAAGCUCUGGAGCCAGGCUGCAGAAGUUCAAAUCCUGGAUUCAUAUCUCGAUACUUCACAGCAGGCGACUGGAUUGAGGCUAUGGCAGGAGACGAGGGGAAGAUGGCAGAAGAGUAAGACAUAGAGAUCACCUUCCUCCCCACAGAAAUACAUCUACACAUGGAACAACUCCUACAGAACAACUACUGAACGCUGGCAGAAGACCUCAGACCUCCCAAAAGGCAAGAAACUCCCCACGUACCUGGGUAGGGCAAAAGAAAAAAGAAUAAACACAGACAAAAGAAUAGGGACGGGACCUGCACCAGUGGGAGGGAGCUGUGAAGGAGGAAAGGUUUUCACACACUAGGAAGCCCCUUCGUGGGCUGAGACUGCGGGUGGCGGAGGGGGGAAGCUUCGGAGCCGCGGAGGAGAGCACAGCAACAGGGGUGUGGAGGGUAAAGCGGAGAGAUUCCCGCACAGAGGAUGGGGGCCCACCGGCACUCACCAGCCCCAGAGGCUUGUCUGCUCACCCGCCGGGGCAGGCGGGGCUGGGAGCUGAGGCUUGGGCUUCGGUCAGAGCGCACGGAGAGGACUGGGGUUGGCGGCGUGAGCAUAGCCUGCAGGGGCUUAGUGCACCACGGCUAGCAAGGUGGGAGUCCGGGGAAAAGUCUGGACCUGCCGAAGAGGCAAGAGACUUUCUCUUGAGAAAGGAGAGGGGAUUAAGAGCGCUGCUUAAAGGAGCUCCAGAGAUGGGCGCAGGCCGCGGCUAAAAGCGCAGACCCCAGAUACGGGCAGGAGAUGCUAAGGCUGCUGCUGCCGCCACCAAGAAGCCUGUGUGCGAGCACAGGUCACUAUCCAUACCUCCCUUCCGGGGAGCCUGUGCAGCCCGCCACUGCCAGGGUCCCGGGAUCCAGGGACAACCUCCCCGGGAGAAGGCACGGCGCACCUCUGGCUGGUGCAAUGUCACGUCGGUCUCUGCCGCAUCAGGCUCGCCCCGCACUCCGUACCCCUCCCUUCCCCCCGGCCUGAGUGAGCCAGAGCCCCCGAAGCAGCUGCUCCUUUAACACCGUCCUGUCUGAGCGAAGAACAGAUGCUCUUCAGCGACCUAUACGCAGAGGCGGGGCCAAAUCCAAAGCUGAGCCGCGGGAGCUGUGAGAACAAAGAAGAGAAAGGGAAAUCUCUCCCAGCAGCCUCAGAAGCAGCAGAUUAAAGCUCCACAGUCAACUUGAUGUACCCUGCAUCUGUGGAAUACCUGAAUAGACAACGAAUCAUCCCAAAUUAAGGAGGUGGCCUUUGAGAGAAAGAUUUAUGAUUUCUUCCCCUUUUCCUCUUUUUGUGAGUGUGUAUGUGUAUGCUUCUGUGUGAGAUUGUGUCUGUAAAGCUUUGCUUCCACCAUUUGUCCUAGGGUUCUAUCCAUCCGUUUUUUUUUUCUUUAAAAAAAUUUUUUCUUAAUAAUUAUUUUUUAUUUUAAUAACUAUUUUAUCUUCUUUAUUUCUUUCCUUCCUUCCCUCCUUCCUUCCUUCCUCCCUUCUCCUUCCUUCCUUCCUUCCUUUCUUUCUUUCUCUUUCUUUCUUUCUACUUUUUCUCCCUUUUAUUCUGAACUGUGUGAAUGAAAGGCUCUUGGUACUCCAGCCAGGAGUCAGAGCUGUGCCACUGAGGUGGGAAAACCAACAUUAGGACACUGGUCCACAAGAGACCUUCCAGCUCCACAUAAUACCAAACGGGGAAAA